This 1113-nucleotide long non-coding RNA is filed under the name Vulpes vulpes (red fox). RNAcentral describes it as "lncRNA (ENSVVUG00000018117.1)". Lineage: Eukaryota; Metazoa; Chordata; Mammalia; Carnivora; Canidae. The record is from RNAcentral.
CUUGUGACCAUAAAGAAAAAGAGCUCUACAUACAGAAACAGGGCACAGACCGAUACACAGAAGGUUAAAAACAUAGGGCUUUGUACUACAGAGGAUUCACUGUUGACUCACUGAAGUUCCCUAUGCUUUUUUUGUCUUUUUUAGAUGAGCAUCUCAGAUGACGAAAUCAUACUUUCUUCUUCUGAUCAGAUUAGUGCCACGUCAAUGUCUCUCCGUUAUUCAAACACAAUAUGGACACUGACCCGAAGAACAAAGUUUUGCCAGUUGGACCAUUCCAAGUCAAAACAUCAGAAACAGCUCACGAUGCUAACCUCAUCUCCCAAGCACGCCUUUCUUGUCAUCAAAACAGAUACGGACCAAGAGAAAAGAGGGCCUGAGCUCCAGCUCUUUCCGGUAAGCUCACCCUUGCACUUUAUGAUAUGCAAGUUUGUUCCUUGUUAUUAUUCAAACUUGAAGUCAACAAAGGCCAGGCGUUUAGGAAGCAGAGAAUCCCAGACACAGGCUUCAAACAUGUCACGCUGUUUGCUCUCAGGUGGCUCACGCCGCUGAGCUGUGCCUCUUCUCUUGGCCUAUCCCUUGCUCUGGGCCUCAUCCCUCCUCACUCACCAGAGCGAGGAAACAAACAACAGACAUGAAAGAGGAGCCACUGGUAGAAGAAAGGAUUAACUUGGCUUUUUUCCAUGAAUUUGAAGGAUGAGCCUCAGAAUCUGUUGCUUUUUUUCUACUCUGGGUUUCAGCAGGACUGGAGGGAACAGACAUGUGCCCAGGCUUUAUUUCUUUUCAACAAAGUCCUACAAAGGCUAUCUCAUGGCCUUACCCCAUGGACUCAAAUACAAAUAGCAAUGUCUUGGCCAGAAAUCACAGAGCGAAAAAGGCUACAGAGGACACAUGCUAUCAGAUAAAACAAAAAACAUUUAAGGACUUAAAUAACAGUUUCCAACUCCUGGGUCAUACUCUGUGGUUUUUGCUCAGCACAUCCUGCUCACUGGAGUUUUGCUUCCUGCAAAACAGUGGCUCUAUGAGAUCACUCAUUUAGAAAAUAUUAUUCUUUUCUUCCCUUGGACCUCAGGUGCCGAGCCUUGGAUUAAUCAUAACACGAUAUUAUCACUGGGC